This 204-nucleotide long non-coding RNA is filed under the name Mytilus galloprovincialis (Mediterranean mussel). Lineage: Eukaryota; Metazoa; Mollusca; Bivalvia; Mytilida; Mytilidae. The record is from RNAcentral.
UCGGGUUACAUAUUCCACAAAAACUCGAUAUUUCCUAAUUGUUUUGUAAAUUUCUGCAUUAGAAAUUAAUCAGUCGCCCAUUUGCAUUAUUGAAAGUACAUAAAGUAAAGCUCGGGUUCACAUACUGUUUUUUGGUAUAUCUGCAGAUGCGGAUACGUAAACGUAUAUGAUACGGUUGAUACGUCUUUAAAUGACCGACCUCUA